AACGAACGCUGGCGGCAUGCCUAACACAUGCAAGUCGAACGAGACCUUCGGGUCUAGUGGCGCACGGGUGCGUAACGCGUGGGAACCUGCCCUUAGGUUCGGAAUAACUCCCCGAAAGGGGUGCUAAUACCGGAUAAUGUCUUCGGACCAAAGAUUUAUCGCCUUUGGAUGGGCCCGCGUUGGAUUAGUUAGUUGGUAGGGUAAAAGCCUACCAAGGCGACGAUCCAUAGCUGGUCUGAGAGGAUGAUCAGCCACACUGGGACUGAGACACGGCCCAGACUCCUACGGGAGGCAGCAGUGGGGAAUAUUGGACAAUGGGCGAAAGCUUGAUCCAGCAAUGCCGCGUGAGUGAUGAAGGCCUUAGGGUUGUAAAGCUCUUUUACCCGGGAUGAUAAUGACAGUACCGGGAGAAUAAGCUCCGGCUAACUCCGUG
Molecule: ribosomal RNA, 433 nt
Filed under: uncultured bacterium
Lineage: Bacteria
Description: partial 16S ribosomal RNA
Rfam family: Bacterial small subunit ribosomal RNA
Source: RNAcentral